RNAcentral lists this ribosomal RNA (484 nucleotides) under uncultured bacterium. RNAcentral's name for it is "partial 16S ribosomal RNA". It matches the Rfam family "Bacterial small subunit ribosomal RNA", at positions 30 to 507 of the family's 1533-position model. The record is from RNAcentral.
AUUGAACGCUGGCGGCAGGCCUAACACAUGCAAGUCGAGCGGGUGAAGGGAGCUUGCUCCUGGAUUCAGCGGCGGACGGGUGAGUAAUGCCUAGGAAUCUGCCUGGUAGUGGGGGAUAACGUCCGGAAACGGGCGCUAAUACCGCAUACGUCCUGAGGGAGAAAGUGGGGGAUCUUCGGACCUCACGCUAUCAGAUGAGCCUAGGUCGGAUUAGCUAGUUGGUGGGGUAAAGGCCUACCAAGGCGACGAUCCGUAACUGGUCUGAGAGGAUGAUCAGUUACACUGGAACUGAGACACGGUCCAGACUCCUACGGGAGGCAGCAGUGGGGAAUAUUGGACAAUGGGCGAAAGCCUGAUCCAGCCAUGCCGCGUGUGUGAAGAAGGUCUUCGGAUUGUAAAGCACUUUAAGUUGGGAGGAAGGGCAGUAAGUUAAUACCUUGCUGUUUUGACGUUACCAACAGAAUAAGCACCGGCUAACUUCGUG